GGAUCCUGGACAGAUCAUUGUUGUGGACUGUCUGAGUUUUUAAAGAAAAGUGUCGGAGGGCGAAGGAUUGCGGCAACAAAAAAAUACGCACUGCUUUACGGUACCUGGUCCCCCGACAACGACCAACCAAGCGGCGGCGGACGUGGUACGGAGGACGCUUCUAGAAACCU
Culex quinquefasciatus (southern house mosquito) is the source of this 170-nucleotide long non-coding RNA. RefSeq lists it as uncharacterized. NCBI's taxonomy places the organism in Eukaryota, Metazoa, Arthropoda, Insecta, Diptera, Culicidae. The record is from RefSeq and is a predicted model, not a curated record. The transcript has 2 exons.